UUGGAGGGCAAGUCUGGUGCCAGCAGCCGCGGUAAUUCCAGCUCCAAUAGCGUAUAUUAAAGUUGUUGCAGUUAAAAAGCUCGUAGUUGAAUUUCGGGGUCAGUAGGUUGGUCGUGCCUAUGGUAUGUACUGGCUUUACUGAUUCCUCCUUCUUGAAGAACUGUAAUGUCAUUAAUUUGGUGUUGCAGGGAAACAGGACUGUUACUUUGAAAAAAUUAGAGUGUUUAAAGCAGGCUCACGCUUGAAUACAUUAGCAUGGAAUAAUGAAAUAGGACGUUGAUCUUAUUUUGUUGGUUUCUAGGAUUGACGUAAUGAUUAAUAGGGAUAGUUGGGGGCAUUAGUAUUCAAUUGUCAGAGGUGAAAUUCUUGGAUUUAUUGAAGACUAACUACUGCGAAAGCAUUUGCCAAGGAUGUUUUCAUUAAUCAAGAACGAAAGUUAGGGGAUCGAAGACGAUCAGAUACCGUCGUAGUCUUAACCAUAAACUAUGCCGACUAGGGAUCGGAUGAUGUUAAUUUUUUUAAUGACUCAUUCGGCGCCUUACGGGAAAC
Molecule: ribosomal RNA, 549 nt
Filed under: uncultured Glomeromycotina
Lineage: Eukaryota; Fungi; Glomeromycota
Description: SSU rRNA
Rfam family: Eukaryotic small subunit ribosomal RNA
Source: RNAcentral